GAUGAACGCUGGCGGCGUGCCUAAUACAUGCAAGUCGAGCGAACAGACGAGGAGCUUGCUCCUCUGACGUUAGCGGCGGACGGGUGAGUAACACGUGGAUAACCUACCUAUAAGACUGGGAUAACUUCGGGAAACCGGAGCUAAUACCGGAUAAUAUAUUGAACCGCAUGGUUCAAUAGUGAAAGACGGUUUUGCUGUCACUUAUAGAUGGAUCCGCGCCGCAUUAGCUAGUUGGUAAGGUAACGGCUUACCAAGGCAACGAUGCGUAGCCGACCUGAGAGGGUGAUCGGCCACACUGGAACUGAGACACGGUCCAGACUCCUACGGGAGGCAGCAGUAGGGAAUCUUCCGCAAUGGGCGAAAGCCUGCCGGAGCAACGCCGCGUGAGUGAUGAAGGUCUUCGGAUCGUAAAACUCUGUUAUUAGGGAAGAACAAAUGUGUAAGUAACUAUGCACGUCUUGACGGUACCUAAUCAGAAAGCCACGGCUAACUACGU
RNAcentral lists this ribosomal RNA (496 nucleotides) under uncultured bacterium. RNAcentral describes it as "partial 16S ribosomal RNA". It matches the Rfam family "Bacterial small subunit ribosomal RNA", at positions 28 to 506 of the family's 1533-position model. The record is from RNAcentral.